This is an RNA transcript of Onychostruthus taczanowskii (white-rumped snowfinch), 2065 nucleotides long. It is a transcript of the gene named BCDIN3 domain containing RNA methyltransferase, with no coding region annotated. The transcript is spliced from 3 exons. The record is from RefSeq and is a predicted model, not a curated record. Lineage: Eukaryota; Metazoa; Chordata; Aves; Passeriformes; Passeridae.
AGCGGGGAGCAGUGCCAAGAUGGCGGCGCCCAUCAGCCGUGAUAGCCGCCGCUCCGAGCCUGGCGCGGCUCCCUACGGCAACUUCCCGAAUUAUUCCCGGUUCCACCCGCCCGAAGGGCGCAUCAGCCUCCUGCCCCAAGGGCUCCUGCGCAGCCUCUUCCCCGCGGCCACCCGCCCGCUCCUCGGGCUCGAUGUGGGCUGCAACUCCGGGGAGCUCAGCGUGGCUCUGUACCAGCACCUGCUGGGGCUCCAGGACAGCAAUUCCAGCCCGGAGCCGCCAGGGGCCGGGAAGGAGCUGAAGCUGCUGUGCUGUGACAUCGAUCCCGAGCUGAUCCGGAGGGCCCAGCAGAGCAGCCCCUUCCCUGCUUCCAUCUCCUUCGCCAGCCUGGACAUCAUGGACUCGGGGGCCAGGGAGCCCUUCCUGAGCUCCUACCUGGAGCGCUUCGGCCGCUCCUCCUUCGACAUCGGCUUCUGCAUGUCCGUGACCAUGUGGAUCCACCUGAACCACGGCGACAGGGGCCUGCUGGAGUUCCUGGCCCUGCUGGCCUCGCUGUGCACCUUCCUGCUGGUGGAGCCCCAGCCCUGGAGGUGCUACCGGGCGGCCGCGCGCCGGCUCCGCAGGCUGGGCCGCGAUGACUUCGAGCACUUCCGCUCGCUGCGGAUCAACGGGGACAUGGCCGAGAGCGUCACCCGCAUCCUGACCCAGGAGUGUGCCAUGGAGCUGGUCUGCUCCUUCGGGAGCACCUCCUGGGACAGGAGCCUGCUGCUCUUCAAAUCCACCGCUGCCCGUCCCGAGGGCUCCGGCUGAGGGCCGGCCUCGCGCUGCCGUGGGUUCACGGGCGAGGAGGCGGAGUGGGAAUUCCUGAAUCCCUGCUAGGACCGGGCCUUGGCUUCCUGUGGGAGUCCAGGGCAAGGAAUGUGUGUGACUGAUUGUUUUUAACCGGUUUUGUGGGGUGGGAGGUUGUUCAAGGAAGUGCUCCUGGAGUCCAAGUUCCUACAUGUGCUUUCCACGUGUAUUCCCUGGAAUACCAGUCCCUCAGAGGCCUGCCUUGGAUCCAGGUUUGGCCUCACCUGGCCCAGCAAAGGUGAAUUAUUGAUCCCACCUGAAACCCACCCUGGCUGGGACACUGCUGCUGUUCUGGAAUACCAGGGAACAUGCCCUAGGGAAUGUAGAAUGUCCUGAUUGGAACGGCCUCACAAGGAUCCUCCAGUCCAGCUCCUGGCCCUGCACAAGGCAUCCAAAACUCCCCCAGGACUGGGGUGAGGCACCUGCAGGACAAUCCCUUCCCUGGACCCAGCAGCCCAGGCUGAAUUCUCCUAGUACAGGGGUUUAUCCCUAAUGGUGAGUGCUUUUGGGAGAAUUGAAAGGGCCUCACAAGGAUUCUCCAGUCCAGCUUCUGGCCCUGCACAAGACAUUCCAAAAAAAUCCCAUUAACCCCAAAAUCCUGAUGCCCAGGUUGUCCAGACAUUCCCAGACCUCCAGAAUCAUGGAAUAUCCCAGAGCUGAAAGGGACCUGUGAGGAUCUGAGAGUCAUGGAACAUCCAGUGUUGGAAGGGACCUGCCUGGGUCAUCAACUCCAACUCCUGGUCCUGCACAGGACAUCCCAAAAUCCCACCCACUGCCUGAGAGUGUUGCCCAAGCAUUCCCUGACCUCCAGAAUUAUGGAAUAAUCAGAGUUGAAAGGUACCCACAAGGAUCACAGAGUCAUGGAGUACCCUGAGUUGGAAGGGACCAACUCCAACUCCUGGCCCAGGACAACCCAAAAAUCCCCCUGAUGCCAAAAUCCCAGCACCCUGAGCUCUGGCUUCUUGGGGCUGUCACCAUUCCCUGGGGAGUUAUUCCAGUGCCGAGCACCCUCUGGAUGAGGAGCCCUUUCCCAAAAUCCACCCAAAACUCCCCCAGGACUGGGGUGAGGCACCUGCAGGACAAUCCCCUGCCUGGACCCAGCAGCCAGGCUGAACUCUCCCAGGACAGGCUCAUCCCUAACGCUCCGUGCUCCUGCUGUCCAGGAAGGUGUGGGACUGGAGAGGUGGGAGCAGCUCUGGGACCCAGCAAUGGCAGAGC